GCCGGGCGCGGUGGCUCACGUCUGUUAUCCCAGCACUGGGAGGCCGAGGUGGGUGGAUCACCUGAGGUCAGGAGUUCCAGACUGGCCUGACCAACAUGGAGAAACCCCGCCUCUA
Molecule: unclassified non-coding RNA, 115 nt
Organism: Pongo abelii (Sumatran orangutan)
Lineage: Eukaryota; Metazoa; Chordata; Mammalia; Primates; Hominidae
Rfam family: Metazoan signal recognition particle RNA
About the family: The signal recognition particle (SRP) is a universally conserved ribonucleoprotein.
Source: Ensembl